Long non-coding RNA from Megalobrama amblycephala (Wuchang bream), 1788 nucleotides. RefSeq lists it as uncharacterized. The transcript is spliced from 4 exons. The record is from RefSeq and is a predicted model, not a curated record. NCBI's taxonomy places the organism in Eukaryota, Metazoa, Chordata, Actinopteri, Cypriniformes, Xenocyprididae.
GAACUGUGGUGUUUUUGUAUGCACAGCAAGUUAACUGUAUUAUGUUGAUUUUGUUAAUAUAUUCUCUAAUAUAAUCGUUGUUUGAUGACUAUAACUGAUUCUGUUAAAUAAUUUUUGGAGUAGAUGGCAGAGAUGGAAGCUAAAAGUAUUCAAAUGUGCCAGGAAAUUCUGCACACUGAACAGAUGGGAUACCUUCGUCUUUACCAUGCCUCAUACAUGGUGAAACAUCUGCAACCAGAGGUAACUCUGUAAACUGUAAACCUUUUGAAUUUCAAGAGUAUGCAAAGCUUAACAUGAAAGUUUAUCCUAGGACUUUCCACCCGAAGUCAAAAUAAUUCAGAGUGCAACACAGACCAGCUGUGUGGCCCAGGAUGUAGGAGUUUGCAUUUAUCAAAAAUAUCAAUCAAAAGUAAUGCACCCACAAAUCCAGUCACUGGACUGGAUUCAAUGUGACCUUUGCAAAAAAUGGCUGCAUUCUGACUGCGCUGGUAUCAGCCUUGAAAUGAUCACAGAGGAAACAUCAUUCAGCUGUGGAUGUGACACUAACCAUGUGCAUACCUUUGAGAAAACAUUGGCACUAUUGAAGAAGGGCUGGUUGGUUGACCUUGUAAUACAGGAUCAAUAAGUCUUGAGAUUGCACGAAGGCUUGAGAAACGGCACAAUCCGAUCCAGCAGGAUGUUUUUAUUUAAACAUCCCACAUUUUCUUCAAAGCUGAGGAUGAAACUUAGCAAAAAGUUUUUUUUUUUUUUUUUUUUGAUGAAGAACAGGUAUUUCAUACUGUUUGCCUUGUUUAACAAUUUACAUAGUUAAAAUAAGUUUAUUUAUGUUGUACCUUAAGAACACAAGACUGUACAGAUGCGUAAGAAAGUAUAUAUAUCAGAUGUUAUUUUAACAUAUUUUCAUUGGAAUGUAUACUGUCAAUGUAGAUUUUCUACAGAAAAAUUAGAGAAUUAUGAAUGUAAUUACGAAUGUUAUUAUGUACAAAUUUAACAAAUGUUUUGCUACAGACAGAGAGGAUAAUUGAAAGAAUAUACACAGUAACACAGCUGCCUAGGGUUUCCCUGGACAACACAACUUACGUUCUUGAAGUUUUGACCCCUGUGGUAUAUAUAGACACUUUGAUACAGUACAUGGGACAAUAUCAUUAAAUGCACUGUACAUAUAUCUUUCAUAAUUCUAUCUUCUUCUUUUUUUUAAAGCUAACACUGUUAAUACUGCAAAAGACUGAGGGCUUUCACAGGUUCCAGGCAGAAAUGGCUUUACAGUCAAACAUUGCUUUGGAGUAAGUCUUUCUUUUAGUGUUGUUUUUUCAUUCAUCCUUAAAACAUGUCUGAAAAGCUUAUACCCAUGUCUUAUUUCUCUUUUAAAGGGUACAAUGCUCAAAUCCACCAUGGUUUUGAUGGCACUUCAUCAGUAGGAGUGUAAUCCUGUAUGAAGAGGGUGGCCCGCUGAACAACUGUACUUUAGGCCCAAAGUUCUAGUAGCCCUGUCUAGUAGCCCUGUCCCCAUAUUCUUUCACAUUUCUCCUAGUGGUUUAAGAUAAAUAAUAUCACUGACAUUGAAGACUGUAUGUAAACAUUGUUAUUGAACUAUUGAUUUAGAUACAGUACCGGUCAAAAUUUUGGACACAUUACUACUAGUCUCUUAUUAUCAUCAAGCCUGCUCAAAGCCAAGCCAAUUUGAUCAAAAAUACAGAAAGCACAGUAAUAUUGUGAAAUAUUACAAUUAAAAAUAAUGGUUUUCUAAUUUAAUACUUUAAAAUAUAAUUUUUUCCAUGAUUAAAGCUG